GGACGGUUAGCUCAGUUGGCUAGAGCGUCUCGUUUACACCGAGAAGGUCGUAGGUUCGAGUCCUACACCGUCCACCA
This is a transfer RNA of 77 nucleotides. It matches the Rfam family "tRNA". Rfam says of the family: Transfer RNA (tRNA) molecules are approximately 80 nucleotides in length. Their secondary structure includes four short double-helical elements and three loops (D, anti-codon, and T loops).